Molecule: small RNA, 1377 nt
Filed under: Pongo abelii (Sumatran orangutan)
Lineage: Eukaryota; Metazoa; Chordata; Mammalia; Primates; Hominidae
Description: retained intron
Source: RNAcentral
UGAGCGUCCGGGCCCAGGGGCUCCGCACAGCAGGUUCUCCCCAUGACACCACCUGAACGUCUCUUCCUCCCAAGGGUGCGUGGCACCACCCUACACCUCCUCCUUCUGGGGCUGCUGCUGGUUCUGCUGCCUGGGGCCCAGGUGAGGCAGCAGGAGAAUGGGGGCUGCUGGGGUGGCUAAGCCAAACCUUGAGCCCUAGAGCCCCCCUCACCUCUGUUCUCCCCUAGGGGCUCCCUGGUGUUGGCCUCACACCUUCAGCUGCCCAGACUGCCCGUCAGCACCCCAAGAUGCAUCUUGCCCACAGCACCCUCAAACCUGCUGCUCACCUCAUUGGAGACCCCAGCAAGCAGAACUCACUGCUCUGGAGAGCGAACACGGACCGUGCCUUCCUCCAGGAUGGUUUCUCCUUGAGCAACAAUUCUCUCCUGGUCCCCGCCAGUGGCAUCUACUUCGUCUACUCCCAGGUGGUCUUCUCUGGGAAAGCCUACUCUUCCAAGGCCACCUCCUCCCCACUCUACCUGGCCCAUGAGGUCCAGCUCUUCUCCUCCCAGUACCCCUUCCACGUGCCUCUCCUCAGCUCCCAGAAGAUGGUGUAUCCAGGGCUGCAGGAACCCUGGCUGCACUCGAUGUACCAUGGGGCUGCAUUCCAGCUCACCCAGGGAGACCAGCUAUCCACCCACACAGAUGGCAUCCCCCACCUAGUCCUCAGCCCUAGUACUGUCUUCUUUGGAGCCUUCGCUCUGUAGAACUUGGAAAAAUCCAGAAAGAAAAAAUAAUUGAUUUCGAGACCUUCUCCCCAUUCUGCCUCCAUUCGGACCAUUUCAGGGGUCACCACCACCUCUCCUUUGGCCAUUCCAACAGCUCAAGUCUUCCCUGAUCAAGUCACCGGAGCUUUCAAAGAAGGAAUUCUAGGCAUCCCAGGGGACCACACCUCCCUGAACCAUCCCUGAUGUCUGUCUGGCUGAGGAUUUCAAGCCUGCCUAGGAAUUCCCAGCCCAAAGCUCUCGGUCUGUCCCACCAGCUAGGUGGAGCCUAGAUCCACGCACGGAGGAAGAGCAGGCACAUGGAGGAGCUUGGGGGAUGACUAGAGGCAGGGAGGGGACUAUUUAUGAAGGCAAAAAAAAUAAAUUAUUUAUUUAUGGAGGAUGGAGAGAGGGGAAUAAUAGAAGAACAUCCAAGGAGAAACAGAGACAGGCCCAAGAGAUGAAGAGUGAGAGGGCAUGGGCACAAGGCUGAACAAGAGAGAAAGAAGUAGGCAUGAGGGAUCACAGGGCCCCAGAAGGCAGGGAAAGGCUCUGAAAGCCAGCUGCCGACCAGAGCCCCACACGGAGGCAUCUGCACCCUCGAUGAAGCCCAAUAAACCUCUUUUCUCUGAAA